AGGGCUUAAUUUUACACAUUCAAGUGAAUGAGGAAACAGCUCGUUGCGUUUUCUUUCUUCUCCUCUCGGUUGUCACCAUGAACCGUGUUUGGAUGUAAGCCAUUUUGACAGUUUCCACAACAAGCUGAGAAAAGGGCAGAUCAAGGAUAAAGAAGAAUUGGAAGCUGUCAUGAAGGAAGCCAGAGCGGUUUUGCCUCCCUGGUUGGAAUGUGAGCUUUUGAAUUCAACGGCAGUGUUAGCCUGAGGGAGGUGUUUCCCUGGCCUGAAACUGCCCGCUGAGUGGCAUCUUUCAUCAAAGUGUGCCCACACUCCUCACCGAUAAGUGGCCAUCCCUCACCUUUCACAUGAUGUCACAUGUUUGCAAUCAGAGUGGGCCUUUGCAGACAAAUUAGGGCAGUUAACGUCCACCGGAGAUCAGUGCAGAGGCGGGGAAGCUGUUGCUAAAUGUCACCAGAUGCGGCCUGAAGUGGAUCGGCUCACUUUUGCACAGAACCUUACAGUGUCCUUGAAUAAAGAUCUCAGAAAGAGGCUCGCGGCCAAAGAAAAGAGACACAUUCUUACUAAAUUGAUGUUUUUAUGGCUAAAAUAAUACUGCAGGUGCUGUUCAGUUUGAGCAAAUGUGUUUGUAGUAAUGUCAAAUUUUAAUUUUAAGCUCUUUAAGAAUAUUAUUUUAAUACAUUUAGCACAGUUUUUUUAAACCUUGAAUACACUUUUAUCUUUAUUUUAUCACGGAAAAAUGCAAACUUAUUUGUUCAUUGCAAAUAAAUUAAUAUUUAUUAUUUAAUUAAUAUUUAACAAAUAUUAAAUAAAUGAACAUUUUAGGUACAGUUGUUGCUCUCAUUGCUUUCUAUGGCUGAAAAAAAUCUUUAUUGACGGAAAUGUCCACAUUUAAUAAAGAAAAUAUGAAAAUAUGAUUGUGUAAAUUAGUAUUUAGAGAGUGUACUCUCUGAAUACUGGAAGGGUGGUAAAUGAUACCAGCAGAGUGGACCUGUAUGCACAAUAAUCUGAAGGGCUCAAUAUGAUUUUCUUAAUUUUUACAAGACUUAAAGAAGCUUUUAUGGAUGAUAUCUUAAUCGUUGUAAAUAAUGUCACCAAUAUUGAUUUAAAAAAU
Molecule: long non-coding RNA, 1111 nt
Organism: Oryzias melastigma (Indian medaka)
Lineage: Eukaryota; Metazoa; Chordata; Actinopteri; Beloniformes; Adrianichthyidae
Exons: 5
Source: RefSeq, a predicted model, not a curated record